GCCUGGCUGGCUCAGUUGGUUAAGCAUCUGACUUUGGCUCAGGUCAUGAUCUCACAGUUUGUGGGUUCAAGCCCCGCAUUGGGCU
This 85-nucleotide transfer RNA is filed under the name Felis catus (domestic cat). It matches the Rfam family "tRNA". Rfam says of the family: Transfer RNA (tRNA) molecules are approximately 80 nucleotides in length. Their secondary structure includes four short double-helical elements and three loops (D, anti-codon, and T loops). Further hydrogen bonds mediate the characteristic L-shaped molecular structure. tRNAs have two regions of fundamental functional importance: the anti-codon, which is responsible for specific mRNA codon recognition, and the 3' end, to which the tRNAs corresponding amino acid is attached (by aminoacyl-tRNA synthetases). tRNAs cope with the degeneracy of the genetic code in two manners: having more than one tRNA (with a specific anti-codon) for a particular amino acid; and 'wobble' base-pairing, i.e. permitting non-standard base-pairing at the 3rd anti-codon position. Lineage: Eukaryota; Metazoa; Chordata; Mammalia; Carnivora; Felidae. The record is from Rfam by way of RNAcentral.